This 557-nucleotide unclassified non-coding RNA is filed under the name Bombus terrestris (buff-tailed bumblebee). Its description in RNAcentral is "misc RNA ENSBTSG00005035009.1". Lineage: Eukaryota; Metazoa; Arthropoda; Insecta; Hymenoptera; Apidae. The record is from RNAcentral.
GGCGCAGACUCGAGGCAAUCGGGGUCGGUCGGCUCGCCAGUUACUUUUCGCGAUCCACCGUGGCCGCUCUGCCGCGGCGCAGGUACACACAGGUCGGACGGUCAGUCUCACCACGGAGUUCGUCAGUCCGACGACGGAUAGGGAAAGGGGAGAACGUAGUGUUCGCGCGAGAUCUCUCGUAUCUAACCACCACGCUUCUCUCUCGAGAUUUUGUUUCGCAUUUCGACUCGAAUGCCCCGCAUAGAAGAACCUCGACGCAACCUCAGGCAACGUGCGAACGUAAAGGAAAUCGAGCAACGGUCGUGUUUACGUAGGGGACAGGUUUUGUCGCUGUUCGAGAAAGUGAAACGAGAACGAAACUUUCUCGUUGCGUGUGAAGGGUAAAAGGAUUGAAAAGUCCCGGGGCAAACUGAUCGGCGGCUAAGCGUGUUUCGACGAGAAAAAGUGCAGUGAAAUGAGAACUGUUUGUCCGGUUUUCUGAAUCGGUUAAUAUCUUCUUAACAACGAAACGACGCGACGGUAGAAAGCGUACGCGCCGUCACAUUCCCGUAGGAUUA